GUGGGGAAUAUUGGACAAUGGGCGAAAGCCUGAUCCAGCCAUGUCGCGUGUGUGAAGAAGGUCUUCGGAUUGUAAAGCACUUUAAGUUGGGAGGAAGGGCAGUAAGUUAAUACCUUGCUGUUUUGACGUUACCGACAGAAUAAGCACCGGCUAACUUCGUGCCAGCAGCCGCGGUAAUACGAAGGGUGCAAGCGUUAAUCGGAAUUACUGGGCGUAAAGCGCGCGUAGGUGGUUUUGUAAGUUGGAGGUGAAAUCCCCGGGCUCAACCUGGGAACUGCCUCCAAAACUGCAUGACUAGAGUACGGUAGAGGGUAGUGGAAUUUCCUGUGUAGCGGUAAAAUGCGUAGAUAUAGGAAGGAACACCAGUGGCGAAGGCGACUACCUGGACUGAUACUGACACUGAGGUGCGAAAGCGUGGGGAGCAAACAGGAUUAGAAACCCGGGUAGUCC
RNAcentral lists this ribosomal RNA (450 nucleotides) under uncultured bacterium. RNAcentral describes it as "partial 16S ribosomal RNA". It matches the Rfam family "Bacterial small subunit ribosomal RNA", at positions 354 to 796 of the family's 1533-position model. The record is from RNAcentral.